UGGAACUUGUCCCGCCCAGGCCGCGGCGAGGUCACUCCAGCCGAUCUCUCUGGACCGCAUUCGUCCCCUUCUCGUCCUCAUGGUGGACAAGAAACUGGUGGUGGUUUUCGGAGGCACAGAGAUAGGGUUUCACCAUGUUGCCCAGGCUGGUCUCAAACUCCUGGGCUCAAGAGAUCUGCCUGCCUCAGCCUCCCAAAGUGUCAGGAUUACAGGCAUGAGCUACCGGGCCCAGCUGCAACGCGCAAAAUCUUAAGGGUGCCCAGGGUGGCUCCGUGGCC
RNAcentral lists this small RNA (278 nucleotides) under Pongo abelii (Sumatran orangutan). RNAcentral describes it as "processed transcript". Lineage: Eukaryota; Metazoa; Chordata; Mammalia; Primates; Hominidae. The record is from RNAcentral.